Molecule: ribosomal RNA, 463 nt
Filed under: uncultured bacterium
Lineage: Bacteria
Description: partial 16S ribosomal RNA
Rfam family: Bacterial small subunit ribosomal RNA
Source: RNAcentral
GACGAACGCUGGCCGUGCUUAUCACAUACGAGUCUCACGGGAAGGCCCCCUUGUGUGGUGCUCGCGUGGCGAACGGGUGAGUAACACGUCAGUAACCUACCCUUGCCUUUGGUUUAACUUCACUACACUGGGCCUAAUACCGUAUCGGAGCUCCUCCUGCGUGGCGUGGUUUGGAAUGUUUCGGCGGUUGGGGUUGGGCUCGCGGCUUAUCAGCUUGUUGGUGGGGUAGUGGCUCACCAAGGCUUUGACGGGUAGCCGGCCUGGGAGGGUGACCGGCCACAUUGGGACUGAGAUACGGCCCAGACUCCUACGGGAGGCAGCAGUGGGGAAUAUUGCACAAUGGGCGGAAGCCUGAUGCAGCAACGCCGCGUGCGGGAUGACGGCCUUCGGGUUGUAAACCGCUUUCGCCUGUGACGAAGCGUGAGUGACGGUAAUGGGUAAAGAAGCACCGGCUAACUACGUG